GGCCAGUAUUCAAGCCUUGAUUUGUACAGAAAGCUGUUACUUGUGGUGAGCUGAUUGUUAAAUUCACCAGAAUUCUGUAUUGUGUUCUGUUUCUUAAGAUGGCUUUAGCCUCGAGUUUAAACAAGCUAGGUACUUCUUCCUUUACUUCUGUAUUCCAGUUUUGUAUUUCUAGAAAAGAACUGGAUGGUGGGAUUGGCUAUGGGCAGACACAUACCCUUGGGCCUACCAAGAAGCCUGCAGGUGAUGCAGGGGUGGCAGGUCCCUGGACCAGAUGCCGAGGAGCAGGUGUCUGAAGUACAUUCAAAGGAACAUUUCUCUGCUUAGGCAGAAUCUAAUGCAGCAGGGGCAUAAAGGCGAUUCACACAUUGAUUAAUCCACUGUCACCAUCAGAAUAAAAACCAAACACCCAUCAGAUUGACAAAAUGCAAAUGAUUGAAAACAAUUUGUGCUUCUCUAGGUUCAUAGUCAGCGGAGCUUCAUACGCAGCUAGUGAGGGUGCGGCUUGCUUGGACAUUGUUUAGUUAGUAAAAAUCAUUCUCAAUUUUCAAAGGUUUUAUUUUUUAACAAUAGCAAAAGAAUUUAAAAUGAAGAGAUGAACAGUGAACAGGCAUAAGAGCAUAAUAAAACUGCCAAAAUCAUAAUGCAGCAUUGUUCAUAGAAAUUAAGUUGCUUAGAAAGUAUUGCCACAAAAAGAACAAUUAAACAACAAGAAAGAAAUAUCUACCACCCUAACUAAUAAGUGAAUUUAACAAAAUGUCAAUGACAAGGUCAUUGUACAAAAAUUUAAUACAUUCCUAUAUACUACCAGUGACCAAUCGAAAAUGGAAUAAAGAAUACCAUUUACAGUAUAAGCUAAAAAUAUCAAAUAUCAAGAAAUCUUAUGAACAAUCUAUACAGUGAAAACUAUAAAAACAUAUCCGAGAGAAAUUAAUGAAGGCUUAAAUAAAAUCAGAGGUGCAGCUCAUCCAUGAAUUAAAAGACUUGAUCCCCAAAUCAAAAUCCUGGGAGUUUUGGGGUUUUUUUAAGAAUUGACAACAUGAUUCUAAAAUUUAUACGGAAUGCGAAGAGCUUAAACAGCCAAAACAAUAUUGAAAAAAACAAAGUGAGGAGACUUACACUCCCCCAAUUCAAGACUUACCACAAAGUCACAGUAGUCAGGAUGGUACGUAAUGGUGUGAAGGUAUGCACAUCAAUCGAGGGAAUAAAUAGAGUCCCAGCAACAAUCCACCUUACUACCUUGUCAGUUCAAUGGGGGAGGGAAACAGCUUUCAAACAAAAUCUCAGGUAGGUUGAUUGAAAGCUCAAUACAAAAUGCAUGCAUAUGGUGUGAUUUGGUGUGUAUGAAGUACAAGACUAAUCUACAGUGACUAAUUUAUGUUUGCCCCUGGGGAAGGAGGGAUGGAUUGUCAAGGCGCAUGAGAACUCUUUCUGGAAUUCUGUGUCUUGUUCUCAGUGGUGGAUUCACAGGUUUUUGCCCUUUUUGAAACUCAUUGAACAGAACACUGAAGAUGAUCUGUGCGUUUUAUCGUAAGUUACACCUCCAUUAACAGAAAACCUCACAGACUCGAGCCAGGCAGACGGUGCAUAAGGGAAGCAGCAGGAAACCACGAACACGGUGAUGGGGCGGUGAGCCCCACCGGAAGCCGUGGCCAUUGCUCUGUCCCAGGCACGUGCUGCAGUGUGGGAACUGACUGGCUGACCUUCUGAGCUUUUCCAAAAAGCCUGAAGUCUUCAUUUUCAUGUCAUAUCUCUUGAUUUUAGAAACACUAAACACUGUUUUUUUAAAAAAAAAAAAAAACUAAACUAAAUAUUGCAAUUGAGGAAGUGUUUAAGCUCUCUCUAGGUACUAUUGAACAGGAUUUUUUUUCUAGUAUAAGUUAAUGCAAAUAUUAGCAAAUCUUUUCAUGUCACUUAAUCUUGGUUAUGGUUGACAUAAACAGCACUUUGUCAGCUCUGUUCGUUGAGGAUUUAUUACACUGUAGCCACUGGGGUAAGUGAUUGAAAGGCCAAGAGCUCAUUUAUUCUUUAUUCUUUGUGACAACUGAUUUUGAGGAAGAUAUUGCUAGGUAAUGACAGACGGCAUCUAACCCAGGGGUUUUUUUACUAUAAAUCUUAUGCUUUGAACCUGACUACUUUGGGAGCAACAUCGAGGAGCAGGCUUACUCCUUGGGUCAGUUUGGAUAAACUGCAGGCAUCAGAGUUUUGUAUAUUAGGGUACAGUGAUCAAUUUUAGAUGCCUGUGGCUCAGAUCCUUGUCUCCUAAUUGCAUGAAUACCAUAAAAAUUGAAACUUGAACUUGUUCACUAGUUACAUUAUUGUACUAGAAAUAGUUUUAUUUUAGCUCUUCAGCUUGGAAUUAUUUUUAUUAAUGAAGUUGAUGCACCAAAAUGCACUAUAAGAUACUCAUCAUUGCGUUUAUUUGUCUAACAAGCAUUUUAGUGUCUUAUGUGCCAGGAGUGCUAUGAGGUACUAGAGAUAAAGAAAUGAUAAGACAGUCCCUGUGGCCAGGGAACUUCAGGACACGAAAAGAUUAUAUUUAGAUUAAAAUAAUUUAUAUUGCAACACUGGUUUCAAGACUUAGCUUGUAAUUAAUGUUAGAUUUGCUAUCUAAAAUUGAAAAGAUUAUUAUCAUGAUUUACUUCAGUUUCUUUGAAAGAAACUGAAUCUGAUGUUUUUGUACCUAUAAAUGAUUCAUUCUGGAAAUAUUUGCUGAGUAACUACGGUAUGUCUGGUCCUGCGUGGUUUCCAGGAAAUGUAGUGUUAAAGCAAAUACUAGCUUUCCCUCAUGGAAUUUGCUAUCAGGAUAAUUUGUUGACUGAUCUCGAAGUUCCUUUUUUUAAGUACUAAGUGCUGAGCUAUCUGUCUCACGUUAUUCUCUCUCCUGUUUUCAUUUGUUUGUUUUAUCUCUUAGUGUCUGUUGGUGUAUUCAUUAGUAAGCCACGGACACAUAGCAGGAAGAAAAACAAAGCACUGAGUACCAUUACUUUGCAAAGCAGUAAUGAAACACUAAGAAAUAUCAACCCUU
Molecule: long non-coding RNA, 3025 nt
Organism: Phyllostomus discolor (pale spear-nosed bat)
Lineage: Eukaryota; Metazoa; Chordata; Mammalia; Chiroptera; Phyllostomidae
Exons: 3
Source: RefSeq, a predicted model, not a curated record